CCCUCUUUAACUGAUGUUCCCUCAGCCUUGGAAGGAACGCAGAUGUCACAUUUGGGGCUGAGGACUCGACAGUGACUUGCUCUCAGGAUAUUGACCAACAGAUCACAAUAGAAGCUUCCAGGUUGGAACCAACUUUUUUCCAAUCCCUUGCAAGGAUGUGAUUGCCUCCCCAUCAAGCCGGAAACAACGGAGCUGAAUGGCCGAGGACUGAGGCUCCAAAAGCAGGAACCAAAAGAAACCCGUGCUCACUUAGGGUGCUCUCUUCAGGUAUUUUGCCAGAGCGACGGAGAGCCUGACAUACUGACACUCUGAGGCAGAGCGCUCAGUGCAAGGAGCUUUCCUCACUUGUGACCAAUGGAAAGUAGGGAAACGUUGACGUGACCACGUGGCAUUGUUAGCACCUUCAUCAUCAUAUAAAUAAACCACAGAGAGCCUUUUCCUACACAAGGAGCAGUGGCAGCUCAGUUAAUGAAGCUUCUUCCGCACAGAAGAGAAAGCUUGUUAGCUACAGUGCGGCUCCAGCCCCAGGAGUCAGUUGUGGUACCCGAUGAUGAAAGACGUGCCUGUCUCUUCCGCCCCACGAGCACUCUGGCCUGGUGUGGUAAUUUAGGAGUGUGGGGGGAGACGGGAAACAAUGGUGCUCUUUUCUUGCGUCUGAUGCUGCCUUGGUUUCCAUUCUGACGCUACUCAUUGGUUCCGAAGACCUGCCGGGCGUGACCUUGGUUUUACCAAGCCGAUCCAGCGGAGUUCUCUACAUCUGAGAACAGCGAGCUUUAACCGCGGCAGGCCUCCCUGGUGUUGAAGCAGAUGGGUCGUUCGGAAAGAAGCCUGUGUGGAGCUAAGCUCUGUGACUUUCUGAUGUGCCAAAUCACCUCCCCACCAUUUUGGAAUUACGCACUGGGAAGUGUUUUCGAAGAUGCCCUUUUAUGUGUUAAUUUUGCAAAAAAUAAAAUAAAUAAAUAAAUCCACAAUUAGAAUUUCAAAUCACCUGAGCAACACAAGAAAAUGAGAAGUUGCAAAUCAAAACUAAGGACUUAAUUAGAAUUUAGCAUUAGGAAGACAAUUAAUUAAUCUGCACAGACUGAAGACAGCCUGUCAUUGCCAGCUCAGGGACACAUUCGCCAGACUAUGAUAUCCUGAAUUGGCUAUUUUCACUCAAUGCUCCUUAAAUAAACAAAAUGGGAAGACUAAAGCAGAGGAAAGCAGGCCUUACUAUCUAUCACGUGACCCCUUCGGGAAGAAAAUGGCUUUUCUUUUUUUUUUUCCCCCUUUUUUUCCCGGAGCUGGGGACCGAACCCAGGGCCUUGUGCUUGCUAGGCAAGCGCUCUACCACUGAGCUAAAUCCCCAACCCCUGAAAAUGGCUUUUCUUAAAAGGUUUGUUAGACUAUGUACUGAAGUCAUCUUUAAAUCUCAGAACUUCCCCCAAAACUAUUGUCCAAUCUUCACAGUAAUAAAUGCGUGAAAUGUUUCAAUUUUCC
Long non-coding RNA from Rattus norvegicus (Norway rat), 1479 nucleotides. RefSeq lists it as uncharacterized. The record is from RefSeq and is a predicted model, not a curated record. Lineage: Eukaryota; Metazoa; Chordata; Mammalia; Rodentia; Muridae.